Molecule: long non-coding RNA, 3172 nt
Filed under: Mus musculus (house mouse)
Lineage: Eukaryota; Metazoa; Chordata; Mammalia; Rodentia; Muridae
Description: long non-coding RNA chr17:46206478-46209650
Source: RNAcentral
GUGGUCAGGUUUCGAUGGAACAGCAUGUCCCGAUUGGAGAAGGUCUAUCUGAAGAACAGUGUCAUGGAGCUGAUCGCAAAUGUGAGUAAAGGGUUACUGGGGGACUUGUGUUCUUAUAUAGUGGUGUAAAAAGCCAUGACUUGCACAUAGGUCAGACCAGGUGACAGUAAGGAGAGACCAGAGGAGAUUGAAGAUGCUCAGCAGGUGAAUGAAGAAGAUCCUUAGCUAUAGCCAGAUGUGGUGUCCCACACCUUUAUCCCUGCUGGGUGCAGGGAUUACAGGCAGGCACUAGCAGUCUGGCCUUGCAUUACUUUUAAUGGGAACAAGAUGCUUUGCCAACUUAUGGAGCAGGUUAGCUAGCUAGCUAAGACUUGCAAUUUACUAGCCAAAGGAGAUUAAUUGGUUACUCAUCAAUUUUAAUGUUUAAAUUCUUGGAAGACAGUGCUAGUAUAUGUUUCUCUUUUACUAUUAGAGCUCCUGGGACUGUAGCACUCUGGGUGCCCUGAAAGUCUCUUCAGUUGGUGAAUAAGAGCAGCAAUGUUUUCCUGGCUCUGUGACAGCUAUUUAUUAGCUGUGGGAACAGUGACCAUUGAGAAUGCAGGCCAGGUGACACAGACAUGGAGAACAGGUUUAGGUUCAAAAGAGACCUGGUGAUCAGUGUUGUGCUUCUGUUUAUGUAGAGGAUUGGGUGUGGUAAGGGCUUGGCGUGUAUUGUGAGAUCAGAGGACACCUUGAGACAAUCGAUUCUCUCCCUAACCAUUUGGGUCCUGGGGAUGGAACUGAGGUCAUCAGCCUUGGACCCCAGUACCUUUACUCACUGAGCCAUCUCCUGUGCGUGCACACACACACACACCAUCACCCCCUUUUUUUUUUUUUGAGGUAGGGUUUCAUGUAGUUCAGGCUGGCCUCGGACUUGCUAUGUACAGACAGACAUAUAAUGGAGAACGUCACUGAAGGUUAGAGGCACCUUUCAGAAGUCCGCCUCUCCUUUCACCGUGGGUUCCAGCAGUUGAGCGCAGGUCACCAGGCUUAUACAGCCAGCCCUUUGAUCCUGCUGAGCCAUCUCACUGCUCAGAGGAGGGCUUGAUCUUCUGACACCCUAGCUCCACUUCCUCUUUGUGGGAUUAUAGGUUUGUCCCACCACACUCAGCUUAUGUCCUACUGGGGUUCAGACCCUGGGCCCCAGCAAAUAUUGUGCCAGCUGGACUACAGUCCAAGUUCCAACCUCUGUGUCUUUAUAGCACACUUUUCAUGCCUAGAAAUCCAGUCUUACAGUCUUCACAAUCUCAUUCUUUUUCAGGGAACACUGAGGAUUUUGGAGGAGGAGAACCACAUUAAAGAUGUUCUGUCUAGAAUUGUGGUAGAGAUGAUCAAACGAGAGUGGCCACAGCACUGGCCUGACAUGCUCAUGGAGUUGGAUACUCUCUUCAGGCAAGGGGUAUGGAGGACGUGUGUGCUGGCUACGUGUGCUUGUGUUAGAUCUCCUGGAGGGUGUGCUUGGUGGGCGUGCCCGUGGUUUUAUCCGUGGCGGGUCAUCGCUGGCAUGCGUACCCGGUCGGAUGCUCUUGUUUAAGUAGCCUCUGUCUAUUGGCCUAGGAAACGCAGAGGGAGUUGGUGAUGUUCAUCCUUCUCCGACUGGCCGAGGAUGUAGUGACCUUUCAGACGCUCCCCACUCAAAGAAGAAGGGAUAUUCAGCAAACAUUGACGCAGAACAUGGAAAGAAUCUUGAAUUUUCUACUCAAUACGCUUCAGGAAAAUGUAAACAAGUACCAACAAAUGGUAUGACUUCCUGCCCUGCACCAUCCCAUCUUCCCUGUCCCCACUGAGCCCUGCAGGGAUGCUAACCCUUCAGCUCACUGAGUGAACGUCUGUCUCUAAGCUGACCCUGCUCAGUGUCCAAGCAGGCAUGGACUUGUGAUCAUUCCUCUUGAGUAGCUGGGAUGACAGACCACUGGGUACAGCAGAUGUCCUGUCUUUGAUCUCAAUGUGUUUUGUUUGAGGGGACGUUGUUUAUUAUUUUGCUUUUAUGAAAAUACCUUUCCAGGGAGAAAUUAGGGUACCUGGUUUAGCAAAAGAAAAGACCAUCUUAAGAGCAAAAUUUACAGGAAAUAAUAGGAGAAAAACUAAUAAACCUGUUUUCUCAGAUAUUCAGGGCAGUGAGUUUCCAUGUAAAUUCCUCCCAGAAUAAGAACAUUCUUUUAAAACAGCAUAAAAGUAUGGUGGAAUGCUCCCUUAUUCCCAGCAUAGAGAGGCAGAGGCAGGCUCAUCUCCUGAGUUCCAGGCCAGUCUGGUAUACUAAUGAAAUUCAAGUUAGCUAGGGGUACACAGUGAGACUUCAUUUUCAAAAACUAACAGAAGCGUAAAACUGUAAGUUAAAAGUCUAGGCAGAGGUGGCCCAGUAGCUGAGAGCACGGCCUGCUCUUACCAAAUACCUAAGUUUGAUUCCUAGCACCCACAUGGUAUCUCACAGCCAUCUGUAAAUCGAGUCCCAGAGGCUCUGGCUUUGAUACCCUCCCUCUUCUGGCCUCAAGAGCUAGACACACCUUUAUACACAAAUAUACAUGCCAGCAAAAUCCCCAUACAUAUUAAUUCACAACAACAAGAGGAACCUUGUAGAUUUUUGAUAGGUCAGGUCCUGAUAAGUCACUAUUCCCGUGGUCCUGUUCCUUUUAUACUGGGUUCAUUCAGUGUCUAUUAGUCAUCACUAUGCAGUGCAUGGUGUUCUGUUCUUAGAGGGAUUUUCCUUUUGCAGAGAGCUUCAACAGUGCUGCCUUUCCCAUGUUUAUCAUAUUUUAGAAGCCUUUUUUCAGAAGGCAUUUGAAAGUUUAUCCCGGAGCUUGAGAUGGCUCCUCAGUAAAGAGCUGAGGACCUGUGGGUGCUUCUGAGCACCCACAGGGCAGUUCCUGACUAACUCCAUUUCCAAGGACCUGAUCUCCUCUUUUGGCCUCCACUGCCAAUAAAUAGAUUGUGUGUAUUCACUUAGGCACCUUCACAUGAAUGAAAAUAAAAAUAUUUUCCAAGGAAAAUUUUAAUGUGGUGUAGUGGUUGCAUGCCUUUAAUCUCAGUACUCGGGAGGCAGAGACAAGUAGGUCUCUGUAAGUUUGAGGCUGGACUGGUAUAUGAAGCGUGUUCCAGACAGACAGACAGGGCUGUUGAACAGGGAAACCUUGUC